RNAcentral lists this ribosomal RNA (1772 nucleotides) under Tegonotus platycaryanis. RNAcentral describes it as "bacterial SSU rRNA". It matches the Rfam family "Eukaryotic small subunit ribosomal RNA", at positions 56 to 1449 of the family's 1831-position model. The record is from RNAcentral. Lineage: Eukaryota; Metazoa; Arthropoda; Arachnida; Trombidiformes; Eriophyidae.
UGUAAAGUUCAAGCUCCGAUUAUGAGGGCGAACCGCGAAUGGCUCAUUAAAUCAGUCAUGAUCUACUUGAUUGUUUAAAGUUUAUAUGGAUAACUGUGGUAAUUCUAGAGCUAAUACAUGCGUGAAGGGGGCGACUCGGCGACGAGAAGCUCUGCGUUUAUUAGACUAAGACCGAUAGUUGCUGGCAACAGCAACUUUAUCAAAAAGGUGGUGACUCUGAGUAAAUAAUGGGUGCAAGCCCAUGUUGCCGACCUGGCACUUAAACGGCUAGCAAUAGUCGGCCAGGCGAAUCAAUCGAGUGUCUGCUCUAUCAACUGUGGAUGGUAGGGUAAUUGCCUACCAUGGUGGUGACGGGUAACGGGGAGUUAGGGCUCGACUCCGGAGAACAAGCCUGAGAAACGGCUAGUAGGACUAAGGUCUGCAGCAGGCGCGAAACUUACACAAUGCUAGAUUUCAAAUAUAUUAGCGAUGUAGUGAAGAAAAAUAACGAUGUACUUGUUUUUAAACAAACUUGUACAAUUGGAAUGAGACGACCGUAAAACAGUCAGUCGAGUAACAAAUGGAGGGCAAGUCUGGUGCCAGCAGCCGCGGUAAUUCCAGCUCCAUUAGCAUACAUUAAAGUUGUUGCGGUUAAAAAGCUCGUAGUUGAAUUUUGGACGAGCUCUUGGGCGCGGCAGCCGUCAAGGCGCGUCGUCUCUUCGGAUUCACGCGCUGGUUGUCGUCGACCUGCGGAGCUCGUUGUUUCGUCACUUAAUCGAGUGCGAAGCGGGGCGGUGCGAUACACUGUCAACUUAACGUUUUCAGUCGCAACGCCAUGUUUACCUUGAGAAAAUUAGAGUGCUCAGAGCAGGCAGUUGGGAUGUAAAAGUCUCUUUAUGCUUGAAUAAUGUUGCAUGGAAUAAUAGAAUACGGCCUCGGUUCUAUUCUGUUGGUCUUAUAGAACAACAAACAAGUUGGUUAAGGCAAUCACGGUUGCUUGUUAGAGUGGUUCUUUGUGUUGCUUGUUGUCUUGGAUGUAAAAAUUCAAGUACCAUCAGCGCAAUAGCCAUCAAAGCUCUCUCAAACACACCAGCCACAAUCAACUGAGGCAAUGGUUAAAAGAAAUAGUCGCGGCGGCAUCAGUACUGCAUCGUGAGAGGUGAAAUUCUUAGACCGAUGCAAGACUAACUGAAGCGAAAGCGUUUGCCGAGGAUAUUUUCAUUAAUCAAGAACGAAAGUUAGAGGUUCGAAGGCGAUCAGAUACCGCCCUAGUUCUAACCAUAAACGUUGCCAACUAGCAAUUGGGUUGCGAUUCCUUUAGUUGGAGCCUAAAAAACUCCAACCAUUAUGAUCCACCCAGCGGCUCUCGUAGGGAAACCAAAGUGUUUGGGUUCCGGGGGAAGUAUGAUUGCAAAGUUGAAACUUAAAGGAAUUGACGGAAGGGCACCACCAGGAGUGGAGCCUGCGGCUUAAUUUGACUCAACACGGGGAAACUUACUAGAUUAGAACUCUGGAAUGAUUGACAGAUUGAUAGCUCUUUCUUGAUUCAGAGGAUGGUGGUGCAUGGCCGUUCUUGAUUCGUAUUCCGAAACGUCUGCUUAAUUGCGAUAACGAGUGAGACCUCCUGAUGUUAACUAGUUGCAUUGGUGCGCUGUGGGACGCAAAAGUCGCUGCGCGUUCUAGUGUGUAGUGUGAGUUUCACGACUUUAUGCUGCACGCACCGCGUAGUGAUGUCCUCUGCUCGCCUGUAGACUUCUUAGCACGAUUUGCAGCAAAAAGCUGCCAGAGACGAG